This 426-nucleotide ribosomal RNA is filed under the name uncultured bacterium. RNAcentral's name for it is "bacterial SSU rRNA". It matches the Rfam family "Bacterial small subunit ribosomal RNA", at positions 355 to 773 of the family's 1533-position model. The record is from RNAcentral.
UGGGGAAUUUUGGACAAUGGGCGCAAGCCUGAUCCAGCAAUGCCGCGUGCAGGAUGAAGGCCUUCGGGUUGUAAACUGCUUUUGUACGGAACGAAAAAGCUCUCUCUAAUACAGGGGGUGAAUGACGGUACCGUAAGAAUAAGCACCGGCUAACUACGUGCCAGCAGCCGCGGUAAUACGUAGGGUGCAAGCGUUAAUCGGAAUUACUGGGCGUAAAGCGUGCGCAGGCGGUUUUGUAAGACAGAGGUGAAAUCCCCGGGCUCAACCUGGGAACUGCCUUUGUGACUGCAAAGCUGGAGUGCGGCAGAGGGGGAUGGAAUUCCGCGUGUAGCAGUGAAAUGCGUAGAUAUGCGGAGGAACACCGAUGGCGAAGGCAAUCCCCUGGGCCUGCACUGACGCUCAUGCACGAAAGCGUGGGGAGCAAAC